GCGGCCUAUCAGCUUGUUGGUGAGGUAAUGGCUCACCAAGGCAACGACGGGUAGCUGGUCUGAGAGGAUGAUCAGCCACACUGGGACUGAGACACGGCCCAGACUCCUACGGGAGGCAGCAGUGGGGAAUCUUGCGCAAUGGGCGAAAGCCUGACGCAGCAACGCCGCGUGCGGGAAGAAGGCCUUAGGGUUGUAAACCGCUUUCAGCAGGGAAGAAAAUGACUGUACCUGCAGAAGAAGGUGCGGCCAACUACGUGCCAGCAGCCGCGGUGACACGUAGGCACCAAGCGUUGUCCGGAUUUAUUGGGCGUAAAGAGCUCGUAGGCUGUUCAGUUAGUUGGGUGUGAAAACUCCGGGCUUAACCCGGAGCCGCCACCCAAUACUGCUGUGACUAGAGUUCGGUAGGGGAGACUGGAAUUCCU
RNAcentral lists this ribosomal RNA (422 nucleotides) under uncultured Actinomycetes bacterium. RNAcentral's name for it is "bacterial SSU rRNA". It matches the Rfam family "Bacterial small subunit ribosomal RNA", at positions 233 to 671 of the family's 1533-position model. The record is from RNAcentral. Lineage: Bacteria; Bacillati; Actinomycetota; Actinomycetes.